Molecule: ribosomal RNA, 490 nt
Filed under: Escherichia coli
Lineage: Bacteria; Pseudomonadati; Pseudomonadota; Gammaproteobacteria; Enterobacterales; Enterobacteriaceae
Also listed under: 1 other name
Description: bacterial SSU rRNA
Rfam family: Bacterial small subunit ribosomal RNA
Source: RNAcentral
AAAUUGAAGAGUUUGAUCAUGGCUCAGAUUGAACGCUGGCGGCAGGCCUAACACAUGCAAGUCGAACGGUAACAGGAAGAAGCUUGCUUCUUUGCUGACGAGUGGCGGACGGGUGAGUAAUGUCUGGGAAACUGCCUGAUGGAGGGGGAUAACUACUGGAAACGGUAGCUAAUACCGCAUAACGUCGCAAGACCAAAGAGGGGGACCUUCGGGCCUCUUGCCAUCGGAUGUGCCCAGAUGGGAUUAGCUAGUAGGUGGGGUAACGGCUCACCUAGGCGACGAUCCCUAGCUGGUCUGAGAGGAUGACCAGCCACACUGGAACUGAGACACGGUCCAGACUCCUACGGGAGGCAGCAGUGGGGAAUAUUGCACAAUGGGCGCAAGCCUGAUGCAGCCAUGCCGCGUGUAUGAAGAAGGCCUUCGGGUUGUAAAGUACUUUCAGCGGGGAGGAAGGGAGUAAAGUUAAUACCUUUGCUCAUUGACGUUACCC